Equus caballus (horse) is the source of this 2270-nucleotide long non-coding RNA. NCBI's taxonomy places the organism in Eukaryota, Metazoa, Chordata, Mammalia, Perissodactyla, Equidae. The record is from Ensembl.
GUAAAAUAUAUUUUUGUGAAUUCUGGUCCAAAAAAGAACUGAGAAAAAUGUAGUCUACAAUAGCUAGUAAAAAUCUCUGAUACAAACACUAACAUUACAUAGGCAUAACACAAUGUAUUUAUUAAAUUCUUCAGUAUGUAGGAUAAAAAUUUCCAUAUUUAUUAGCCCAUAUACAUGCAAGAAAUUGUAUCUAAAGAUAUGUGUUACAUGAAAUACCUAUAAAAUAAGUUUCUGAAGUUAAAAAUAUUCAUUUGAUUAUUACUUUCCUACUAACUUUCCUAUUCUUGUAGUUAAAUAUUUAUGUAGGAAACAAAACAACCCAUUUCUAUGCUUUGGUUUUUAUCAUCGUCAAAGAACAAAAUUUUGCUUUAUAACUGGAAGAAAUACUAAUCUCUAUUGUGACUUCUUGGGAGAGUUUAAUAACUCCAACUUGUUAUAUUCAUUUAUUAAAUAUUUACUGUAUCUCAAAUCUGAAGAUAUUUCUGUAGGUUGUUCUACUUCAGCGUAUAGGAAAUAAAUGAUUUGGUGAUUUACAAAAGAAUUGGUAAUGUAUGUGAUUCUCCAACAGGGGUCUUCUUCUAGUGGAUAUUAGGUAUUCAAUAUUCAAGAAAGUGUUUCCCAAGUGUUCAUAAAUAACAUAUUCAUGUCAAAUAAAAGAUAAUUUACAAACUAUAAAUAGACAAAUAAAAGGCUGAAUGUAACUAGCCAGAUGAACAUAAACUGCAACCUGUGUGAUUGCAUUUACAUAAAAUUAUAGGAAAUUAAAAUAAUUUAAAAAUAAUUAAAAUAACCUAUUGACAGAAGAUCAGGCUCUUAAAAAAAUUUCAUUAUAGUGUGGAUAAAACCAAAGUCACCAGGAAAGAAUCAAUGUUGUGAUCUCAAAUUGGGAGGAAGACCUUGUAAUAACUGCCUAUGUUCACAUCCAUUUGAGAGAAACAUAGAAAUCAUUAAUUAUUAUUCAUAGUCAGAAAAUAUACAUCUAUAUUUAUUGCAAAUGCAGGUGAAAGAUCAUGUUUCUUUCUCAAGCCAGACAAUUCACUGCUUUCAGACAAAAGAGAGCAUCUCUAGGAUGGCUCUCAGGGCUGCUACAGAGCAUGCAGGUGCUGAAGGAAUGGAGUCCACCUGCUAAACCUCUUCUCCCAUGAUGAGAUCAAAGUAGCUUCUCUCCUUUGAGGCUCCUUUGUGAACCUCACAGGACGGAUUCCACAACAUGCUUUUGUUCAGAUGUAUGCACUCACUCGGGCCGGGCCUCAUAUCCCAGCAGGGAUGUGAAGUGUUGGGGUCUCCUGAGGACGGCUGCCCUGGAAUCUGGAGCAGAUGGUUCAGCAGCCAGCAGGACACAGAUCCUCAGAAGCUGUCUCCUUCAGACGCCUGGUAUGGGCUCAGCCAACGGCACGAGGAGCUGCACAGGGAGAGACAGAUCCAGAAAUCACUCUGCUUUCCUGGAGUAAGUGUGCCCUGCACCAUGCUAGGCACUGGGUUAGUGACAAUGACACUGAUACAAGUGGGUAGUGAUCAUAACAACCGGAACACACAAAGGGCUUCUCACCAGGGUCUUUUUUCUCUUUUCCUCCUCUAUCCCCUAACAACAACGUUGAAAAGGAGUAACAAGUGGUCGGAACUCAUGCAGACAUUCACGGUCCCGCAAUAACCACAGGGCCAUGGGCUUGCUCAUGUGUUGUCACUGAACGCUCACAGCGAGCUUGGGGGUUGAGCAUUCUCAUCCCAUUUGACAGAAGGGGGAGCUGGGGCUCAGAGAGAGCCGUUCCCUGUGUCACCUCCCGCGCCCUUGCCUUUAGAAGGAAAGUAUCUCCAGGACACCCCUGGGGCAGGAAGCCACACGCACUAGGACCGGUGGGACCCCGGUGUCUUUACCCACGAGCCCGCCUGGGAACCAAGUCCCAAAGCGGGAGAGAGGCAACUUGGAUGUGGGCCCCUUUGUCUCCCCCACACCCCGGGGGAGCUCAGCCCCCACCGCAGAAACCCACACCCUCAGCUGACAACCAAAUACCUGAAGGUGAAACCCGCACUUCCCAUCAAGCACCACUUUCUCUAUAGAAAAGUCGUGACGGGCGCCACGAUGACGUCAGGUUUCUACAGCAACCGCGAAGCACAGGCAGUUCCUCCGCGCCGGAAAUGCUUCCCUUCUUGCAGCCAUCCUUUGCCGAGUCCCGAAAAGGUGCAUCCUCUCAGCCAAUCAAUACCAUGGGGUCAGUCAUCUGCAUGAAGAGCUCUGCCCUGGGAGAUAAAAAUCCAUAAAUUCCCAGCAC